GUGAAAUUCAAUGGAAAAUUUUGAUAAGAUAAAUUACUAAAAUGUACGAGGGUAAUCAAUGUAAAAUAAAUAAAUAAAUAAACCCUAACGUACGAGGGUAACCAAUGUAAAACAAAUUGAAUUUAAAUUUACUCCCUGUUCACCCAUGACAAGUUUGCCUUGUCAUGGUGGUGCCCCAUUCGAGCCUUCGAGCUACUCGACUUGCCAUGAGACCUUCACCUGGUCGGACUCUCCUCUUGUCCAUGAUCCAGACAUCUUGCCACAUCAGUGAGUCUUACCCUAACUUCUCGUAUUUCUUUUACUAAAAUGUACGUUAGGGUAUAAUUACGUGAUUGUAAAGUUGCAGAUCUAAUUGAUGAAAGUAAGAGGAAGUGGAAGCAAGACUUGAUUGAGUCUACCUUUCCAAUGGAGAUAGCUGAGAGAAUCCUCUGCAUUCUGCUUGCUAAAGAGCCUCACAAAGAUUUUCCAGCCUAGAGGGGAGAGUCCUCGGGAGAGUUUACCCUGAGAAGAGCCUAUAAACUAUUACAGGGCAAUGAAAAUAAUCCUAGGGCUUAUGCCUUACAAACUGAAACUAGGAAUUUUUACAAAAAUAUCUGGCUCCUAAAUCUACCUUCGAAGAUAAAAAUUGCAAUUUGGCGAAUAGCCUGGAAUUAUAUUCCAACGUGGGUGAAUCUGCACUACAGAAGACUCCUAAGUCAAACAACAUGUUCUGGGUGUGGUAGAGCAGCAGAAACUACAAAUCACAUCUUUCGUGAGUGUCCUGUGGCAACGAAAGUAUGGGAAGAGUUAUCACUCUCGAAGAUUUUACAUGAACCCUAUAUGGAAUUUUUAAAGUGGCUUACCUGGGUUUUCGAACAGAAUAGUCCCAAUAUGCGUAGGGUAUUUUGUUGUGCUCUUUGGGCAAUCUGGGGAGAACGGAAUAAAAGAGUACAUGAGAAGGUUAGUAGAUCUGGGACAGAAAUUACAGGUUUUGUAUAGAGAUAUAUUUCAGAGCUCAAGGGGUUCGAAGAAAAAGCUCCAAAAAGUAUAAAAGAAGGUAGAAUGUGGAAACACCCACCUGGUGAGUUUGUAAAGAUUAACUUUGACGCAGCCUUUGAUGAGAAUGUUCGACAAUCGGCAGUGGGAAUUGUGGCCUGAGACAGUCAAGGAAACGCCCUUUUAUCUAGUACAGAGCUUCAUCACCAAGUAGCAUCAGCCUUUGCCGCAGAAGCAAUAGCUUGCAGGACAGCAACUCGCAUCAGUAUGAACAUGCAAUGGCCAAAUAUUAUUAUCGAAGGUGAUGCACUUUCAAUCAUUAAGAAAUGCAAAACACAAGAAAAUGACAGAUCAAGGGUUGGAGCAUAUAUUCGAGAUAUUCAUCAGUUACUAAUAAAAUCAAAAAGACACUAUUUUGAGCACACACCUAGAGAAGCAAAUAGUCUGGCUCAUAUGCUAGCAAGGGAGGCAUUAAAGAAAAAGGAAGAAAUUUACCUGAUUGGCAGAGUUUCGGAUUAUGCCAAGCGACUGAAGGAAGAUGAACGGAAGGGAGUACAAAGAAGCAGAUGAAAUGAAGGACACAAAUCUUAGAGGCUGAAAAAGGGGAAACCCAAAAGUUUGAAUGAAACAACCUCAUUGAUAUCCGGGAAACGUCUUACUGAAGAAAUGAAAAAUGGAUUUGAAAAGACGGGGAAGGAUUUAGUUCUGAUUGGGCAUGAUAGCGGUGCAUUUAAUAGGUUCUAGAGGUUUCUAUUUAAAGUUUUUUUAAGUUUUAAAAUUUAAAGUUAAUGGAAGAACGGUUUUAUGGGUUUUAAUUUGCUUUUCGGGCUUGAGUAAUAGGCCUUAGUAUAGGGUUCAUUUUAGUAUAGGACUUUUGUGAUGAUUUGCUUGAUUUUAGUAAUAAAGCCCAGUCAG
This 1890-nucleotide long non-coding RNA is filed under the name Gossypium barbadense (sea-island cotton). Its description in RNAcentral is "long non-coding RNA (GBAR_LNC021693)". The record is from RNAcentral. Lineage: Eukaryota; Viridiplantae; Streptophyta; Magnoliopsida; Malvales; Malvaceae.